Molecule: long non-coding RNA, 1735 nt
Organism: Rhineura floridana
Lineage: Eukaryota; Metazoa; Chordata; Lepidosauria; Squamata; Rhineuridae
Exons: 4
Source: RefSeq, a predicted model, not a curated record
GGGAAACUGGCAAGGCUCUUCGGAGGGGAAGGAAAUUCAGAGCCUGUGAAAUCCUCCAGCUCUCUACAAACUAAAAGAAGCACCGUUCUGCCUCCCCCGCUGCCGCCCCCCGCAAGUCUGGUGGUUCCUCUGCCUAAACUGCAUAAAAAUCUUCCUUUCUGAUUUCCUGCAACACCUCCUCUGGUCCAUUCUGCUGAGAAGAGGGAGACCUUUCUUCCCACCCGCCUGAUCGCCCACCCACCCAGAGCUUCUUGGUCUCCAGGCCCCCUUUAUUCUGCUUCCCAGGAGGGGUUGAUGCUGGCAUUGGUCCAACCAGAAGGCUGCGGGAUGCCUAGUGGAUGGUACAGGCCGCCUAUCUAGCCAGUGGCCACUCUAGGCUUGGACUGCAGUGUUACAGCCCCUUCCUGUGUAUGCUUACUCAGAAGUAAGUCCCACUGGGUUCAACGCGGUGUACUACCAGGUUUUAGCUGGAGCAGCCAGCCUAAGCGCAUCCUGAUUUGUGGCCACAGCAUCAUUUUCUGGGCCCCUUGCAGGACUAGGGAAUCCGGCCUGGGUUCGCAGCUCGGCCUUAGUUGGAUUGUUUGCAUUGAUUGGGCUGGCAGGCAUGGUGUGGUAUGGAGCCAGCUUCUCCCAGUUCUGCUGCAGUGGUAGCACGGUGGCUUCCUGCCCCAAGUCUUAUUAGUUCACCUUGAAGAGAAUGUAGAGCCAGUGUGGCGUAGCGGUUAAGGUGUUGGACUACAACCUGGGAGACCACGGUUCAAAUCCCCACACAGCCAUGAAGCUCACUGGGUGACCUUGGGCCAGUCCCUGCCUCUCAGCCUCAUGAAAACCCUAUUCAUAGGGUCACCAUAAGUCGGAAUCGACUUGAAGGCAGUACAUUUACAUUUAUUUACAUUUUGAAAAGAAUGACCUGUUUGUCAGGUAGAGCUUGUCCGCUUCCAGGCUGAAAAGGAGUUUGCUUCCAUCCAUUCUGCCUUCCCAGGGGUUAGAAUCAUCUGGUCUGACAUGCUUCAGCACAGACUAGGGACGUAUGGUGCCCCUAAGCAGAUGGAUGAAGCCAGGAGGAAGGGGAAUUGUUCCUGGAGGCGUGCUCUGCUGGCUGGUUGGGAUGGGUUCAUUCUUCCAUUCAGACAUCAUACACUCCUUGCCGCACCUGUACAGGGAUGAUGGAGUGUACGUCUCUGAUGAGGGGCACGACACCUUCCUUGAAGAUCUGCAGCAGGGUAUCAGGCAUCCCCCUUGCCUCUGGUGGAGCAUGAGGUGAUCUAAGCAAGGGCUAGGCCCCCUCCAUGACAGGGUCAGUACAGGGUUAGGCAAAAAGGGGGUAAGUGGAAAGUUGAUGAGAACCUUGAAGCACCUUCUAUAUGAUGAAAGGGCGCUUCCUCAGAACUAUCCAUCAAAGCCUCAAGGCCAGAUGGUGGGGACAGGAGCCCUCCUUGAGGACUGCCCAGAUCACAGGCUUAGUACCUCAAGGCUGGAGCGGAGGGUGAGAUGGACAGAAUUCCCUACACACAGUUAAUGUGCCAGCAAUGAAAGGCCAGGAGUAGAUAGUUCAUACCACUCUGGGGCCUUGAGCCAAAGUAGCUCACUCAAAAAUCCGAGAGGCUGGUUUAAGUUUCAUUGCACUUAGAUUUAUGGGAGCCUGCACUGAGCAUUAACAAAGUUUCCCUUUGCAGAUCUUAAUUUGGAUAAUGGGCUUAAUUGCUUUCAUUUAUUAUUCAUUUAAUUGGCUGAA